AUCGCUUCUCGGCCUUUUGGCUAAGAUCGAAUGUAGUAUCUGUUCUCGUCAGCUUAAUAAUACUUUUUGUCUAUUAAGCAUAAUGCUGCUGUGAACAAUCAUGUACAAAUUUUGUGUUAACACAGGUUUUCACUUCUCUUGGGUAUACACCUAGGAGUGAAACUGCUAGGUUAUAUAGUAACGCUGUACAAUUUUUUGGCUAAUUGCC
Molecule: small nuclear RNA, 208 nt
Filed under: Suricata suricatta (meerkat)
Lineage: Eukaryota; Metazoa; Chordata; Mammalia; Carnivora; Herpestidae
Description: U2 spliceosomal RNA (ENSSSUG00005019334.1)
Rfam family: U2 spliceosomal RNA
About the family: U2 is a small nuclear RNA (snRNA) component of the spliceosome (involved in pre-mRNA splicing). Complementary binding between U2 snRNA (in an area lying towards the 5' end but 3' to hairpin I) and the branchpoint sequence (BPS) of the intron results the bulging out of an unpaired adenosine, on the BPS, which initiates a nucleophilic attack at the intronic 5' splice site, thus starting the first of two transesterification reactions that mediate splicing.
Source: Rfam by way of RNAcentral